AUUGAACGCUAGCGGGAUGCUUUACACAUGCAAGUCGAACGAGUGGCGGACGGGUGAGUAAUAUCUCGGAACGUGCCCAGUAGCGGGGGAUAACUACUCGAAAGAGUGGCUAAUACCGCAUACUAUUGUAGCGGCCGAUAGCGGAUUAUCUAGGUGGUGGGGUAAAGGCUCACCCAGGCAACGAUCCGUAGCUGGUUUGAGAGGACGACCAGCAACACGGGGACUGAGACACGGCCCAGACGCCUACGGGAGGCAGCAGUGGGGAAUGUUGGACAAUGGGGGAAACCCGGAUGCAGCCAUCCCGCGUGUAUGAGAAGGCCUUCGGGUGGGAAAGGACUUUUGGCAGAGAAGCGGUAUCUGCAGAAUAAGCACCGGCUAACUACGUGCCAGCAGCCGCGGUAAUAC
RNAcentral lists this ribosomal RNA (405 nucleotides) under uncultured bacterium. Its description in RNAcentral is "partial 16S ribosomal RNA". It matches the Rfam family "Bacterial small subunit ribosomal RNA", at positions 30 to 526 of the family's 1533-position model. The record is from RNAcentral.